RNAcentral lists this unclassified non-coding RNA (428 nucleotides) under Hevea brasiliensis (rubber tree). The record is from RNAcentral. Lineage: Eukaryota; Viridiplantae; Streptophyta; Magnoliopsida; Malpighiales; Euphorbiaceae.
GUAGCAGAUCAUAAUUCACCGUCGAAGCUCAGGUACUUUGAGCUCCUGAACUGAUCAGGGUCAAGAAGAACGCACAGAGAAUAUGAUUUUAGGCGGAAUAGAGGACGAAGACAAAUGGCUUGCCGAAGGAAUUGCCGCCAUUCAACACAACGCCUUCUACAUGCAUCGCGCUUUGGAUGCUAACAAUCUUAGAGAAGCUCUCAAAUACUCUGCUCAGAUGCUGUCGGAGCUCCGAACUUCGAAACUCUCCCCUCACAAAUACUACGAACUAUAUAUGAGAGCUUUCGAUGAAUUGAGAAGGCUGGAAAUAUUCUUUAAGGACGAGAGCAGACAUGGCGUUUCGGUCGUUGAUUUAUAUGAGCUCGUGCAGCAUGCUGGAAAUAUAUUACCUAGACUGUAUCUGCUGUGUACGGUAGGAUCAGUGUAUA